AGUGAACGCUGGCGGUAGGCCUAACACAUGCAAGUCGAACGGCAGCACAGGAGAGCUUGCUCUCUGGGUGGCGAGUGGCGGACGGGUGAGGAAUACAUCGGAAUCUACUUUUUCGUGGGGGAUAACGUAGGGAAACUUACGCUAAUACCGCAUACGACCUACGGGUGAAAGCAGUGGAUCUUCGGACCUUGCGCGAUUGAAUGAGCCGACGUCGGAUUAGCUAGUUGGCGGGGUAAAGGCCCACCAAGGCGACGAUCCGUAGCUGGUCUGAGAGGAUGAUCAGCCACACUGGAACUGAGACACGGUCCAGACUCCUACGGGAGGCAGCAGUGGGGAAUAUUGGACAAUGGGCGCAAGCCUGAUCCAGCCAUACCGCGUGGGUGAAGAAGGCCUUCGGGUUGUAAAGCCCUUUUGUUGGGAAAGAAAUCCAGCUGGUUAAUACCCGGUUGGGAUGACGGUACCCAAAGAAUAAGCACCGGCUAACUUCGUGCCAGCCGCCGCGGUAA
RNAcentral lists this ribosomal RNA (506 nucleotides) under uncultured bacterium. RNAcentral describes it as "partial 16S ribosomal RNA". It matches the Rfam family "Bacterial small subunit ribosomal RNA", at positions 29 to 523 of the family's 1533-position model. The record is from RNAcentral.